Molecule: ribosomal RNA, 1388 nt
Filed under: uncultured prokaryote
Description: partial 16S ribosomal RNA
Rfam family: Bacterial small subunit ribosomal RNA
Source: RNAcentral
GCGGCAUGGCUAAAGCAUGCAAGUCGAAGGAGAAGCCCCUUCGGGGGUGGACACUGGCGAAAGGGCGAGGAAUACAUUCGAACGUGCCCCAAGGUGGGGGAUAGCGUCGGGAAACCGGCAGUAAUACCCCAUGUGCUCUACGGAGGAAAGGCUUGCUGCCUCGGGAGCGGGGAACGUCCUAUCAGCUUGUUGGUGAGGUAAUGGCUCACCAAGGCUUAGACGGCUAGCGGGUGUGAGAGCAUGACCCGCCGCAUCGGGACUGAGACACUGCCCGGACUCCUUCGGGAGGCUGCAGUAACGAAUAUUCCGCAAUGCGCGAAAGCGUGACGGAGCAAUGCCGCGUGGAAGGACGAAGCCCCUCGGGGUGUAAACUUCUGUCAGGACCUAGGAAGAUCUGACCAGGUCCAGAGGAAGGGCCGGCUAAGUUCGUGCCAGCAGCCGCGGUAAUACGAACGGCCCGAGCGUUGCGCGGAAUCAUUGGGCUUAAAGGGUGCGUAGGCGGGUGCGCAGGCAUCUUGGGAAAUCCCUCGGCUCAACCGAGGAACUGCAGGGUGAACCGCGUGUCUUGAGACAAGUAGGGGCUGUCGGAACGCUAGGUGGAGUGGUGAAAUGCGUUGAUAUCUAGCGGAACACCAAAGGAGAAAUCAGACAGCUGGGCUUGUCCUGACGCUGAGGCACGAAAGCGUGGGGAGCGAACGGGAUUAGAUACCCCGGUAGUCCACGCCGUAAACGAUGUGCACUAGGUCGUGGUGGGUCUGACCCCUUCUCGGUCGAAGCGAAAGUGUUAAGUGCACCGCCUGGGGAGUACGGUCGCAAGGCUAAAACUCAAAGGAAUUGACGGGGGCUCACACAAGCGGUGGAGCAUGUGGCUUAAUUCGAAGCAACGCGAAGAACCUUAUCAGGGUUUGACAUGCCUGGAUGCGUCCUGUGAAACAUCCGAGCCACGCCCUUGGGUGGAACGUGCACAGGUGCUGCAUGGCUGUCGUCAGCUCGUGCUGUGAAGUGUCGGGUUAAGUCCCUUAACGAGCGCAACCCUUAUCGCUAGUUGCCAGCGAGUCAUGUCGGGGACUCUAGCGAGACUGCCGGUGUCAAACCGGAGGAAGGUGGGGAUGACGUCAAGUCCGCAUGGCCCUUAUGUCCUGGGAUGCAAACGUGCUACAAUGGCGUGGACAGAGCGACGCAAGACCGCAAGGUGGAGCAAAUCGCAAAAACCACGCCCCAGUUCGGAUUGGAGUCUGCAAUUCGACUCCAUGAAGCCGGAAUCGCUAGUAAUCGCAGAUCAGCUACGCUGCGGUGAAUACGUUCCUGAGCCUUGUACACACCGCCCGUCAAGUCAUGGAAGCCGGGAGUGCCCGAAGUCGCUGCGAUUCAGCAGUGCCCACGGCAAG